GAUGAACGCUGGCGGCGUGCCUAAUACAUGCAAGUCGAGCGAACGGACGAGAAGCUUGCUUCUCUGAUGUUAGCGGCGGACGGGUGAGUAACACGUGGAUAACCUACCUAUAAGACUGGGAUAACUUCGGGAAACCGGAGCUAAUACCGGAUAAUAUUUUGAACCGCAUGGUUCAAAAGUGAAAGACGGUCUUGCUGUCACUUAUAGAUGGAUCCGCGCUGCAUUAGCUAGUUGGUAAGGUAACGGCUUACCAAGGCAACGAUGCAUAGCCGACCUGAGAGGGUGAUCGGCCACACUGGAACUGAUACACGGUCCAGACUCCUACGGGAGGCAGCAGUAGGGAGUCUUCCGCAAUGGGCGAAAGCCUGACGGAGCAACGCCGCGUGAGUGAUGAAGGUCUUCGGAUCGUAAAACUCUGUUAUUAGGGAAGAACAUAUGUGUAAGUAACUGUGCACAUCUUGACGGUACCUAAUCAGAAAGCCACGGCUAACUACGUG
RNAcentral lists this ribosomal RNA (497 nucleotides) under uncultured bacterium. RNAcentral's name for it is "partial 16S ribosomal RNA". It matches the Rfam family "Bacterial small subunit ribosomal RNA", at positions 28 to 507 of the family's 1533-position model. The record is from RNAcentral.